RNAcentral lists this ribosomal RNA (493 nucleotides) under Sterkiella histriomuscorum. Its description in RNAcentral is "SSU rRNA". It matches the Rfam family "Eukaryotic small subunit ribosomal RNA", at positions 381 to 890 of the family's 1831-position model. The record is from RNAcentral. Lineage: Eukaryota; Ciliophora; Spirotrichea; Sporadotrichida; Oxytrichidae.
UUCCGGAGAGGGAGCCUGAGAAACGGCUACCACAUCUAAGGAAGGCAGCAGGCGCGUAAAUUACCCAAUCCUGACUCAGGGAGGUAGUGACAAGAAAUAACGGACCGAAGCCUAUGUUUCGGGAUUGCAAUGAGUAGAAUUUAAACCCCUUUACGAGGAUCAAUUGGAGGGCAAGUCUGGUGCCAGCAGCCGCGGUAAUUCCAGCUCCAAUAGCGUAUAUUAAAGUUGUUGCAGUUAAAAAGCUCGUAGUUGGAUUUCUGGGAGGGUGCCAAUGUCGUCAUGUGAUUGUGCAGCGGCGCCCUUCCAUCCUUCUGUUAACGUUUCUGAUAUUCAUUUAUUGGUCUCGGGCUCAGAUAUUUUACCUUGAGAAAAUUAGAGUGUUCCAGGCAGGCUUGCGCCGGAAUACAUUAGCAUGGAAUAAUAGAAUAGGACUUUAGUCUCCUUUGUUGGUUUGAGGGACUGAAGUAAUGAUUAAUAGGGAUAGUUGGGGGCA